This 433-nucleotide ribosomal RNA is filed under the name uncultured bacterium. RNAcentral's name for it is "partial 16S ribosomal RNA". It matches the Rfam family "Bacterial small subunit ribosomal RNA", at positions 29 to 507 of the family's 1533-position model. The record is from RNAcentral.
AACGAACGCUGGCGGCAUGCCUAACACAUGCAAGUCGAACGAGACCUUCGUGUCUAGUUGCGCACGUGUGCGUAACGCGUGGUAACCUGCCCUUAGGUUCGGAAUCACUCCCCGAAAGAGGUGCUAAUACCGGUUAGUGUCUUCCCACCAAAGAUUUCUCGCCUUUGGAUGGGCCCGCGUUGGAUUCGCGGGUGGGUAGGGUAAAAGCCUACCAAGGCGACGAUCCAGAGCUGGUCUGAGAGGAUGAUAAGCCACACUGGGCCUGAGACACGGCCCAGACUGGUAGGGGAGGGAGCAGUGGGGAAUAUUGGACAAGGGGGGAAAGCCUGAGCAAGCAAUGCGGGGUGAGUGAGGAAGGGGGUAGGGUUGUAAAGCUGUUUGAGCCGGGAGGAUAAUGACAGUACCGGGAGAAUAAGCGCCGGCUAACUACGUG